AAGGCGCUUUCGGGUGUCGCUGAUGGAUGGACCCGCGGUGCAUUAGCUAGUUGGUGAGGUAACGGCUCACCAAGGCCACGAUGCAUAGCCGACCUGAGAGGGUGAUCGGCCACAUUGGGACUGAGACACGGCCCAAACUCCUACGGGAGGCAGCAGUAGGGAAUCUUCGGCAAUGGACGAAAGUCUGACCGAGCAACGCCGCGUGAAUGAAGAAGGUUUUCGGAUCGUAAAACUCUGUUGUUAGAGAAGGACAAGGAUGAGAGUAACUGUUCAUCCCUUGACGGUAUCUAACCAGAAAGCCACGGCUAACUACGUGCCAGCAGCCGCGGUAAUACGUAGGUGGCAAGCGUUGUCCGGAUUUAUUGGGCGUAAAGCGAGCGCAGGCGGUUUCUUAAGUCUGAUGUGAAAGCCCCCGGCUCAACCGGGGAGGGUCAUUGGAAACUGGGAGACUUGAGUGCAGAAGAGGAGAGUGGAAUUCCAUGUGUAGCGGUGAAAUGCGUAGAUAUAUGGAGGAACACCAGUGGCGAAGGCG
RNAcentral lists this ribosomal RNA (532 nucleotides) under uncultured Bacilli bacterium. RNAcentral describes it as "bacterial SSU rRNA". It matches the Rfam family "Bacterial small subunit ribosomal RNA", at positions 202 to 723 of the family's 1533-position model. The record is from RNAcentral. Lineage: Bacteria; Bacillati; Bacillota; Bacilli.